RNAcentral lists this unclassified non-coding RNA (330 nucleotides) under soil metagenome. Its description in RNAcentral is "partial contains 5.8S ribosomal RNA, internal transcribed spacer 2, and large subunit ribosomal RNA". The stretch from base 5 to 121 matches the Rfam family "5.8S ribosomal RNA", at positions 38 to 154 of the family's 154-position model. The record is from RNAcentral.
GAUGGAAGAACGUAGCGAAAUGCGAUAAGUAGUGUGAAUUGCAGAAUUCAGUGAAUCAUCGAAUCUUUGAACGCACAUUGCGCCCCUUGGUAUCCCGAGGGGCAUGCCUGUUCGAGCGUCAUUUCACCACUCAAGCCUGGCUUGGUGUUGGGCGACGUCCCAUUUGGGGACGCGUCUCGAAACGCUCGGCGGCGUGGCACCGGCUUUAAGCGUAGCAGAAUCUUUCGCUUCAAGAGUCGGGGCCCCGUCUGCCGGAAGACCUACCCAUAAGGUUGACCUCGGAUCAGGCAGGGAUACCCGCUGAACUUAAGCAUAUCAAUAAGCGGAGGA